UGGCUCAGACUGUAAAGCAUCUGCUUACAAUGCAGGAGACUCAGGUUCGAUUCCUGG
RNAcentral lists this transfer RNA (57 nucleotides) under Capra hircus (goat). It matches the Rfam family "tRNA", at positions 8 to 63 of the family's 71-position model. From Rfam's summary of the family: Transfer RNA (tRNA) molecules are approximately 80 nucleotides in length. Lineage: Eukaryota; Metazoa; Chordata; Mammalia; Artiodactyla; Bovidae. The record is from Rfam by way of RNAcentral. RNAcentral also lists the same sequence under 1 other name.